This 360-nucleotide ribosomal RNA is filed under the name uncultured bacterium. Its description in RNAcentral is "bacterial SSU rRNA". It matches the Rfam family "Bacterial small subunit ribosomal RNA", at positions 8 to 353 of the family's 1533-position model. The record is from RNAcentral.
AGAGUUUGAUCCUGGCUCAGGAUGAACGCUAGCUACAGGCUUAACACAUGCAAGUCGAGGGGAAACGACAUCGAAAGCUUGCUUUUGAUGGGCGUCGACCGGCGCACGGGUGAGUAACGCGUAUCCAACCUGCCCACCACUUGGGGAUAACCUUGCGAAAGUAAGACUAAUACCCAAUGAUAUCUCUAGAAGACAUCUGAAAGAGAUUAAAGAUUUAUCGGUGGGGGAUGGAUGGGGAUGCGUCUGAUUAGCUUGUUGGCGGGGUAACGGCCCACCAAGGCAACGAUCAGUAGGGGUUCUGAGAGGAAGGUCCCCCACAUUGGAACUGAGACACGGUCCAAACUCCUACGGGAGGCAGCA